GAAAAACUGUAAAUAAGGCUCACAUUUCUUAUUUUUUGUUUUUGGUUCUAAUUGCACGUGCAAUUACUCCAUUUAAGGGAAUGAAAGGAUUCUAAAUAUAUGCAGACAAUAUUAUUUCAUUUUUUUUGUUCAAUUAUCGGGUAAGUAAAUACAUUUUGCAGCUUGCAAUAUCAUCGACGUAAGACCGCACAAGAUAUUCAACUUCCCUGUUGCAAAAUGAUGAGCUUUUUCAUGUUAUCUGUGUCUAUAAAAAUAUAUAGCACAAAGAGUUUAAAAACUGCUCAUUGCAUUGUACAUACCAGGUUUUUCAAAACGUUUUGGUAGAACUAUGAAAAGUGCACAGUGAUAUUCUGGUCUGAAAUGCCCUCCCCCUCCCCUCUUUGAAGAUAUUUACUUGGUGGUCCUUUUCUUGCCGUUUUGUCAGAGUCCAGUAAGGUUCCCCAUCCACGUCUUACUUAAAAGGGGACAAUUGAGGGUUUUGCAUGCAAGUUCACGCUUCUUUCCUUUGUUUUAUUGCAGCUUCAAUGAAGCGAAUCGUUAACUGACCAUGCAAGAAUAGCAUUUGACCAGAGUUGUCUGUUUGAGACCCAAACAGAAUCCCUAUCACUAAAAAACAUUUGGCUACAAUUUUUUUAAAUUAUUUAUUACUAAAUGCUAUUCAAAUCAGUUGUGGUCUGUGCACAGUGUAGAAUGAUAAUAUGUUGUACUGAACGAUGUGCUGUUUUCAAGAAUUCGUAUCCUUUCCUUUAGACUACUUCAACUUGUAUUUGUGGAAAUAUAUUACAUGCAACAUGUGAAUCUUGGAGGAAAGAUGUCUGAUGUAUCUGAGUAAAUACUUGCACAUAUGACUCGUCGUCAUGCUUAUACAGAGACCCGGUAUUCCCGGUACUUAUUUCCUUGUGUAACACAAAGGCACUGAGUGUUUUAACAUCGCGGUGAACUCAAACCCGAUGGUGUUUCAUCAUAUAGUUGAAUAUAAUAUGGUGGAUAGAUGCAGAUUCUCAAAACUUGUAUUACUUCCUCAUUGGCCGACUGGAUUCGAUUUUUUUUUCUGUUUGUUUAAGUGCCUCACACUAUAAGAGAACACUUUAUGUGUUUAUAGCGCCAAUUAUUAGUCACUCAUAGGGUUACGGCGAAAAUUACAACUCUGCUGUACCUUUGCAAGUUAUACAAGUAAGCAUCUGCGUUACGUUUCACAUGGACCAAUUAAAAUCGAGAUAUUGCUGGACAUUUGCGCGGUGACGUCACUACGCCAGCCACGUUGUAAGGCUAAUCCCCGCGAAAUUCAAAGUCAAUAUGACGGCGGUGUUCAACGAUAUCACCGAUCUGAGACGAGUUUACACCGCUGCGAUCGACGUCUUCACGAGGAAACAGCGGCGGGUGGAUUUUACGUACAAAUAAUCGACUGAUCGGUGAGUCAGAAACUAAACUUCGGGGUUAAUAUUGAAGUGUGGUGCUGACGGUCCGACCGGCGACCGGUACCCGGCGAGGGGGCGGCGCUGACGGUCCGGCGGCGCUAGUCGGACACCUGCGGCGGGCAGGAUGCGGCCGCGAGACUGAGACACCUGCCCUCACCAGCGCUGUUGUGGUUUUCAUUCAACAGAUUCUGUACAACCCGUCAUCCAACUGUUCGUCUAACUAACGUACGGCUCCCAGCCUCGGACACUCCUGCACAAGUCGACAAAAUAGUCUUUCCCAGGUGGGAGAUGACCGUGCAGCCGUGCAGACCGUGCAGUUUACACCGCUGUGAUCGACGUCUUCACAAGGAAACUAGUCGGACACCUGCGGCGGGCAGGAUGCGGCCGCGAGACUGAGACACCUGCCCUCACCAGCGCUGUUGUGGUUUUCAUUCAACAGAUUCUGUACAACCCGUCAUCCAACUGUUCGUCUAACUAACAUCUAACAAGGCAUCUGGCCUGGAUAGUACAGACUUUCACACGAUUGGCUGAACAGGUGCUGGCAGCUAAUAAAAAGGACCUGGAUCUUCUCCGGAUGUCUGUCAAUGACGAGAUUAAUCUUGCCGCUCUGGAGGAAGAGGAAGGACUCUGUGACAGCGAGGCGGCCGACCGAGGAAAAGGCUGCUGGUGUUAGAGAGACAAUUCAGAUCUGAUCGUCUGUUACCACUGGACACUUCGCACACUAGGCAAAACGUUUCUUUUUGUCGUUAGUUGAAAUAAAGUGAAAACAUUGA
Long non-coding RNA from Gasterosteus aculeatus aculeatus (three-spined stickleback), 2191 nucleotides. RefSeq lists it as uncharacterized. The record is from RefSeq and is a predicted model, not a curated record. NCBI's taxonomy places the organism in Eukaryota, Metazoa, Chordata, Actinopteri, Perciformes, Gasterosteidae.